Long non-coding RNA from Megachile rotundata (alfalfa leafcutting bee), 385 nucleotides. Lineage: Eukaryota; Metazoa; Arthropoda; Insecta; Hymenoptera; Megachilidae. The record is from RefSeq and is a predicted model, not a curated record.
CUCAUGAAUUAACACAAAGCUACAGAAUUUACAUACUGUAAGUUUUUGCCUAAUUUUGCCAAGGUGUCAGAACUGGUCAUAAUCUCUACAGUGUAGCAAAUGGAAUCCAAUUAAAUAAAAAUGCCACACAUGAACCUGAAGCGAAGCCAGACUAAAGUUUCAUGAACAAGUCAACUGUGUCAUCUAUAACAACAACCUCUCCGACUUUCUUGGUCCGAAGUUAACAGUUGGACGAACGUAUCAAAACAAGUAAACUUGUUUCUCGUCCAGGAGUCGAGGUGCAGUUGUCUCAUUUUUGAAAGAGGAAAGGAAAUAUUAAAGUGCAAACAGACCUUCUGUAAAAUGAUAUACAGCUAUAAUUUUUGUUUGUUCUGUUAACUGUGUU